GACGAACGCUGGCGGCGUGCCUAAUACAUGCAAGUAGAACGCUGAAGAGAGGAGCUUGCUCUUCUUGGAUGAGUUGCGAACGGGUGAGUAACGCGUAGGUAACCUGCCUUGUAGCGGGGGAUAACUAUUGGAAACGAUAGCUAAUACCGCAUAACAAUGGAUGACACAUGUCAUUUAUUUGAAAGGGGCAAUUGCUCCACUACAAGAUGGACCUGCGUUGUAUUAGCUAGUAGGUGAGGUAAUGGCUCACCUAGGCGACGAUACAUAGCCGACCUGAGAGGGUGAUCGGCCACACUGGGACUGAGACACGGCCCAGACUCCUACGGGAGGCAGCAGUAGGGAAGCUUCGGCAAGGGGGGCAACCCUGACCGAGCAACGCCGCGUGAGUGAAGAAGGUUUUCGGAUCGUAAAGCUCUGUUGUAAGUCAAGAACGGGUGUGAGAGUGGAAAGUUCACACUGUGACGGUAGCUUACCAGAAAGGGACGGCUAACUAUGUG
RNAcentral lists this ribosomal RNA (497 nucleotides) under uncultured bacterium. RNAcentral's name for it is "partial 16S ribosomal RNA". It matches the Rfam family "Bacterial small subunit ribosomal RNA", at positions 28 to 507 of the family's 1533-position model. The record is from RNAcentral.